GACGAACGCUGGCGGCGUGCUUAACACAUGCAAGUCGAACGGAAAGGCCCUGCUUUUGUGGGGUGCUCGAGUGGCGAACGGGUGAGUAACACGUGAGUAACCUGCCCUUGACUUUGGGAUAACUUCAGGAAACUGGGGCUAAUACCGGAUAGGAGCUCCUGCUGCAUGGUGGGGGUUGGAAAGUUUCGGCGGUUGGGGAUGGACUCGCGGCUUAUCAGCUUGUUGGUGGGGUAGUGGCUUACCAAGGCUUUGACGGGUAGCCGGCCUGAGAGGGUGACCGGCCACAUUGGGACUGAGAUACGGCCCAGACUCCUACGGGAGGCAGCAGUGGGGAAUAUUGCACAAUGGGCGGAAGCCUGAUGCAGCAACGCUGCGUGCGGGAUGACGGCCUUCGGGUUGUAAACCGCUUUCGCCUGUGACGAAGCGUGAGUGACGGUAAUGGGUAAAGAAGCACCGGCUAACUACGU
RNAcentral lists this ribosomal RNA (467 nucleotides) under uncultured bacterium. RNAcentral's name for it is "partial 16S ribosomal RNA". It matches the Rfam family "Bacterial small subunit ribosomal RNA", at positions 28 to 506 of the family's 1533-position model. The record is from RNAcentral.